This 6630-nucleotide long non-coding RNA is filed under the name Triticum aestivum (bread wheat). Its description in RNAcentral is "long non-coding RNA (TAES_LNC011200)". Lineage: Eukaryota; Viridiplantae; Streptophyta; Magnoliopsida; Poales; Poaceae. The record is from RNAcentral.
UCCGAUCCGACUAAAGUGGGAGAGACUGGCACCCGCUAACCACCUUAUGCAACAAGUGCAUGUCAGUCGGUGGAACCUAUCUCACGUAAGAGUACGUGUAAGGUCGGUCUGGGCCGCUUCAUCCCAUAAUACCGUCGAAACAAGAUUGGACUAGUAGCGGUAAGCAUAUUGAACAAAAUCAACGCCCACAACAACUUGUGUUCUACUCGUGCAUAGAAACUACACAUAGACCUGGCUCAUGAUGCCACUGUUGGGGAACGUAGCAGAAAUUCAAAAUUUUCUAUGCAUCACCAAGAUUAAUCUAUGGAGUAAUCUAGCAAUGAGGGAAAGGGGAGUGCAUCUACAUACCCUUGUAGAUCGCUAAGCGGAAGCGUUCAAGUGAACGGGGUUGAUGGAGUCGUACUCGUCGUAAUCCAAAUCACUGAUGAUCCUAGUGCCAAACGGACGACACCUCCGCGUUCAACACACAUGCAGCCCGGUGACGUCUCCCAUACCUUGAUCCAGUAAGGAGAGAGGGAGAGGUUGGGGACGACUCCGUCCAGCAGCAGCACGACAGCGUGGUGGUGGUGGAGGAGCGUGGCACUCCAGCAGGGCUUUGCCAAGCACCGCAAGAGACGAGGAGGGAGAGAGGUAGGGUUGCGCCAAGGAGAGGCCAAAACUCAUGUGUUUGCAGCCGCAAAGACCUCAACUAUAUAUAGGGGAGAGGGAGGGGGCUGCUCCCCCUCUAGGGUUCCCACCCCAAGGGGUGCGGCAGCCCCAAAACCCAUCUAGGGUGGCGGCCAAGGGGGGGAGAGGGGGAAACUUGCCCCCCAAGUAAGGUGGAGGCGCCCCCUCCCCAAACCCUAGGCGCCUUGGGCCCUGGUGGGGGGGCGCACCCGCCCACCUGGGGCUGGUCCCCUCCCACACCUGGCCCAUGCUGCCCUCUGGGCCGGUGGCCCCACUUGGUGGACCCUCGGGACCCUCCCGGUGGUCCCGGUACAUUACCGAUAGCACCCGAAACUUUUCUGGUGACCAAAACAGGACUUCCCAUAUAUAAAUCUUUACCUCCGGACCAUUCCGGAACUCCUCGUGGCGUCCGGUAUCUCAUCCGGGACUCCAAACAACAUUCGGUAACCACGUAUAUCUAUUCCCCAUAACCCUAGCGUCAUCGAACCUUAAGUGUGUAGACCCUACGGGUUCGGGAGACACGUAGACAUGACCGAGACAACUCUCCAGCCAAUAACCAACAGUGGGAUCUUGAUACCCAUGUUGGCUCCCACAUGUUCCACGAUGAUCUCAUCGGAUGAACCACGAUGUCGAGGAUUAAAUCAAUCCCGUAUUCAAUUCCCUUUGUCUAGCGGUAUAGUACUUGCCCGAGAUUCGAUCGUCGGUAUCCCGAUACCUUGUUCAAUCUCGUUACCGGCAAGUCUCUUUACUCGUUCUGUAACACAUCAUCCCGUGAUCAACCCCUUGGUCACAUUGUGCACAUUUUGAUGAUGUCUACCGAGUGGGCCCAGAGAUACCUCUCCGUCACACGGAGUGACAAAUCCCAGUCUCGAUUCGUGCCAACCCAACAGACACUUUCGGAGAUACCCAUAGUGCACCUUUAUAACCACCCAGUUACGUUGUGACGUUUGGUACACCCAAAGCAUUCCUACGGUAUCCGGGAGUUGCACAAUCUCAUGGUCUAAGGAAAUGAUACUUGACAUUAGAAAAGCUAUAGCAUACGAACUACACGAUCUUUGUGCUAGGCUUAGGAUUGGGUCUUGUCCAUCACAUCAUUCUCCUAAUGAUGUGAUCCCAUUAUCAACGACAUCCAAUGUCCAUGGUCAGGAAACCGUAACCAUCUAUUGAUCAACGAGCUAGUCAACUAGAGGCUCACUAGGGACAUAGUGUUGUCUAUGUAUCCACACAUGUAUCUGAGUUUCCUGUCAAUACAAUUAUAGCAUGGAUAAUAAACGAUUAUCAUGAACAAGGAAAUAUAGUAAUAAUAACUAAUUUAUUGUUGCCUCUAGGGCAUAUUUCCAACACACCCCGGGUGCCCAGCCGCGUCGCCACCGGGUGCCCGGCCACUGCCUGGGCGUCGCCCCAGCCUAGCCCGGGUGCCCGGCCCCAAGGCCCCGGGUGCCCGGCCUCUCGCCCAGCCGCGCCUGGGCCACACCCAGGAUGGCCAACCACUUGGGCCCGGGUGCCCGGCCCCCUGCCUGAGCCGGCCCAGCUCGCCCCGGGUGCCCGGGCUCUCACCCCCCGGGUGCCCGGCCACCUUCGCCGCCCGCCUGGGCCACUCUAGCCGGCCCCGGGUGCCCGACCAAAUGGCCCCGGGUGCCCGGCCCCUCUAGCGCCUGCCUCCAGCGCCACCCGGGUGCCCGGGCUUUGGACCCCCGGGUGCCCGGCCUCGACCGCCCAGCCCCUGCGUCUACCCCGGGUGCCCGGGCCUUGGACCACCGGGUGCCCGGACCCCUCCGAGAGUGUGUGCGUUUUCAGGGUCAUUUUGGACCUUUGUAUCCCCCUCCCCCUCUAUUUCGUCCCUAGACUAUAAGUACCUCCCACCUAGCUCAUUUAGAGAAAAGCAAAGUAUUUGAUAGACAUUUGUGAGCUUUGCUCCAUGGAUCCACUCCACUAGGAGAUCAAGACCUCCUCUUGGAGUGACCAAACAUCAAGACCUCCUCCUUGGGGAAGGAUCCCUAUCAUAGGAUCAUCAAGCCCUCAUCUCCUUCAUAGGAUUUGGGAUGAACUCUACCAUGUAUCUUAUUUCCCUUUGAUUGUUCAUGUACCUUGUGGAUCUUGUGUGAUUGUUAGUCUAGUGGAUGUGUGAUUUGGACUUGUUCUUGAGUGUUCCUCUUGUUUUCCCUCUUGUUUUCAUCUUGUUCUUGGGGAUUCCCCCUCCAAUUCGUGAAAGAUCUUCACUUAGGGUUCCACCCUACAACAGUUCUGCUCGCCAACGGAAUGACGUCAUCAGCCAUAGGUCGUGUGUGCUUCCAGGGUUGGAGCUCUGCUAGCCACCAGUGCUCCUGUUGCCGCUGUCAUCGGCGGCAAGACCGCCAGGGUUUGAGGUCUCCCCUACCCCCACGCUCACCUCCGGUGGGCCGUUCAGACGCGCCCUUGCAAGCCCGUUGAAGCCACCCAGGCGGAUGCCGGCCUCGUGCCACUUUUCGAGGUGCGGUAGGACGCGCUCCUCGGCACAUUGGCUUCAUCCCCGCCUAGGCCACUUUUCGAGGAGUAGUUGGGGUCAAGAUCUCGACCAUUGGAGGCGUCACGCUACAACGCACCAGCGUAAGGCUACGUCUGGAGCCUGGAGGUCAUGUCAAGGUAACACAAGUGGCAAAGGUUGCCUUGACAUUGUGCAACACUAGAGGGUUUAGUGUUGGCAGCCUCCGUAGCGACUUCAACAAGUAUAAUGAUUGUGAAGGACCGACCGGUGAACGCUUUCGCCGGAUGCAGACUCACGUGCCACACCGCGCUCACGCAUGUGGAGCCAUGUCCCUGUAUGUGUGCCCCUUCCACCGACAAUGCUCAAUCUUAUCCUUUGGACAAGACCUCUUCUUCCUCAAUUCCUCUUCUCAGAGCAGCUCUCUCUCUCCCUCGUGAAAAUCACACCCAGCCUGCUCCCUCCUACUGCUACUANNNNNNNNNNNNNNNNNNNNNNNNNNNNNNNNNNNNNNNNNNNNNNNNNNNNNNNNNNNNNNNNNNNNNNNNNNNNNNNNNNNNNNNNNNNNNNNNNNNNNNNNNNNNNNNNNNNNNNNNNNNNNNNNNNNNNNNNNNNNNNNNNNNNNNNNNNNNNNNNNNNNNNNNNNNNNNNNNNNNNNNNNNNNNNNNNNNNNNNNNNNNNNNNNNNNNNNNNNNNNNNNNNNNNNNNNNNNNNNNNNNNNNNNNNNNNNNNNNNNNNNNNNNNNNNNNNNNNNNNNNNNNNNNNNNNNNNNNNNNNNNNNNNNNNNNNNNAGCAUGGCCUCCGUGAUGCGAUGAUUUUUUUGUUGUUGCUGCAUCUGGUGUUGCUACGGCGGCCCUCGGGGACAACGAUGGGGACCCAUCGGUGAGCAUGGUGCGGCCACACGACACAUGGCUCGAUUGGUGACAAGCCCGACACCCAUCUGUGAUGUGGAAGAUGUGUCUGAGCGCCACAGUGCUACAACAGGCACCCGUAGAUGCAGGAGCGACGACACCCAUUUGCUGGAACCGGCCAUGGAGGCUGCUGGACGGGCGGUGGCAGGUGCUUUAGUUGAUCAUGGCAAAUGUUGGCACCGGUCAUGGCAGAUACUGGAAAUGGCAUUUGUGGAUGCUACAAACGGUCGACGGAGCUGCAAUCAGUGUCGCGUGAUGCAUUUGUGGCAUUUGUGGAUGCUACAAACGGUCGACGAUACUGGAAAUGGCAUUUGUGGCAGAUGCUUUAGAGAUUGUUGGGACAGACGGUGACGGAUGCUGGAACCGGCGGUAGCAGAUGCUACAACCACGGGUCAACGGAGCUGCAAUCAGUGUCGCGUGAUGCUAUGACUGUGGUUCGACGGUGCUAUGAGCUCGACGACAUCUUGUGUUGGGGAUGUUACAACCAUGAGACGGCAAAGCUGCAAUCGAUGCCAUGCGAUGCUAUGACCAUGGCCUGGCGGUGCUCCAAUGUCGACGACGUCCUGCGUCGGGAUGCUACAACCGCAUGCCGGUGGAGCUGCAACCGCGGUCUGACAUAGUUGCAACCCGCGUGCCGGCCGGAGCUGCGAGAGGUAACCGGAUGAGUGUUGUGACCACGAGCGCACGAUGUUGCGUCAAUAGGGAGAAAGUGUAGUGAAAGCCCCCGCAAACGGUGUUCUGCAUGGUCCAACAACGAGGGCAGUGCGGUGACACGGGUGACUGGCGACUGUUGACGGCACGGGUUCUGCAGCGAAAUUCGAGACAAAACAAUUUAACAGCGCAAGGCGGUUUGAUCUAAGGCACACGCAGUGACCGACCAAAAUUUGGGCGAAGUUAGCCCUUCAAAAAGGGCAUGUAGUUUGUCCCCCAGAAACGUGUGGUAAGGCCAUCUCUAGCAAAUCCCGUAAAAGCGGCCAAACCUACAGAUUUACGGUACAUGCUGAAAAAGGGUACCAAAUAGAUUGUGUAAAAUAGCAUAUACCGUAAAAAAAUGCAGGCUCCCGUAUAUUAGAGCUCCCAUCCAUCAUAUAUGGAGGAUCGAGUCGUUUUUCAGGAUCCUGUAAAACCGGUCAAUGCUGGAGCAGGAGGCCUGCGAUGCCACACAUGAGCAGCGAGCAGGCAGCCGGCCGGAGCAUCGCCAGAGCAAGCAACGGGCCGGACGUUGCCGUUUGGGCCGGUCGGAUCGAGUUCGCCCAUACAUGCGUCUCAUGGAAGAAACCUGAUUUAUCUUUUUUGCAGAGAGAUGCUCAAAUGUACAAAUGAGUUGAAAUCUCGAGCAAACCUCACAUAUCAAAUUAUCUACCAUACAAAAAAGGAUUUUUUUUUAAUUCUUCUAUUAUUUGUUUUGAUUUUUUUUCUGAGCGCGGAUGCAGAUGAGGACACCCAUCUGCGAUGUUCCGGUGUGGUAGAAAACGGCGAAACGACCUGCCGCAGGCAGUCAUCGCGCACUUUAUGACCGCCAAUGGUAAGCCGACGAGCCGUUGGGCCAACGUCGAGCCGGGGCGACGACGGGGCGUGUCUUUGCAGGCGAACCGUCGACGGGACAAAUCCGAGCAGCUAGAGUCAAUGCCUGCAUGCGGCGCGGAGGCGUUGCCUGGGUUGUGUAGUUCGAUACCCGACCAAUCCAUGGAAGGCGCAUGCGCCGUCGGCCGGAUGCACCAAAUCCUCCUAUCACAGGUCUACUAGUUGGCCGUCGGCGCCGGUGCGAGAGAAGCACAAAUCCGGUUGUUGUGCUUUUGGACGGCCGGGUUGGACAGAGAGGCGGCAGGGGAAAAUGGGCGGCGGCAAUGACGGCGGAGGGGAAGGAAAAGAAAAAGGUGUAUCUGUGUCCCUGACGGGAGGGCCAGGGAAGAACAAGGGCUCGCGUCCCGUUCGUUCGUGCGUGUCCCUUUCCACACAAACACAGUUUAAAUUUGAAUAAAAAUAAUUUGAAAGUGGACAAAAAAAGAUGUUUGUCCAUUUGCACCCGCACGUUGAGAACAGUUUUAUGUCCGUUUACCAUGUUGGAGUUGGCCUAAGCCUACACCUACGAUGUGUGCUGGUAUAUGCAUGUCGUUCACCAUCCGCCGGCCAGAGUCAUGUACCGCCCCGCCCGUGCACGUUUCGGCCAGGUCACCGAUCCGCGCCAAAGCGCAUCCGGGCCGUCUAACCCAUACAUCGACUGACGGCUGAAACCGCUCCACGGCAUCGAUCCGAGGCAGCAGCGUCUCCACCAACCACAGCCCGCCUCCUCCCUCCUUCCACUUUCCUAUAUAAAUCUCGCCGCCCCCUCCCUUCUCCCCACAUCACAGCAUCUGCAGCCCCCCUCGCCUCCGAUCCACACCCGACCUCCCCACACCCUCGAAUCAUCAUCAGCAGCACCCAUGGCGCCCAAGGCCGCAGAGAAGAAGCCGGUGGAGAAGACCCCGGCGGGCAAGAAGCCCAAGGCGGAGAAGAAGGUGCCGGCGUCCAAGGAGGGCGGAGGCGAGAAGAAGGGGAAGAAGAAGGCCAAGAAGAGCGUGGAGACGUACAAGAUCUACAUCUUCAAGGUGC